GACGAACGCUGGCGGCGUGCUUAACACAUGCGAGUCGAACGGAAAGGCCCUGCUUUUGUGGGGUGCUCGAGUGGCGAACGGGUGAGUAACACGUGAGUAACCUGCCCUUGACUUUGGGAUAACUUCAGGUAACUGGGGCUAAUACCGGAUAGGAGCUCCUGCUGCAUGGUGGGGGUUGGAAAGUUUCGGCGGUUGGGGAUGGACUCGCGGCUUAUCAGCUUGUUGGUGGGGUAGUGGCUUACCAAGGCUUUGACGGGUAGCCGGCCUGAGAGGGUGACCGGCCACAUUGGGACUGAGAUACGGCCCAGACUCCUACGGGAGGCAGCAGUGGGGAAUAUUGCACAAUGGGCGGAAGCCUGAUGCAGCAACGCCGCGUGCGGGAUGACGGCCUUCGGGUUGUAAACCGCUUUCGCCUGUGACGAAGCGUGAGUGACGGUAAUGGGUAAAGAAGCACCGGCUAACUACGUG
Molecule: ribosomal RNA, 468 nt
Filed under: uncultured bacterium
Lineage: Bacteria
Description: partial 16S ribosomal RNA
Rfam family: Bacterial small subunit ribosomal RNA
Source: RNAcentral